AUUGAACGCUGGCGGAAUGUUUUACACAUGCAAGUCGAACGGCAGCACGGACUUCGGUCUGGUGGCGAGUGGCGAACGGGUGAGUAAUGUAUCGGAACGUGCCCAGUCGUGGGGGAUAACGUAGUGAAAAUUACGCUAAUACCGCAUACGAUCUAUGGAUGAAAGCGGGGGAUCGCAAGACCUCGCGCGAUUGGAGCGGCCGAUAUCAGAUUAGGUAGUUGGUGGGGUAAAGGCCCACCAAGCCAACGAUCUGUAGCUGGUCUGAGAGGACGACCAGCCACACUGGAACUGAGACACGGUCCAGACUCCUACGGGAGGCAGCAGUGGGGAAUUUUGGACAAUGGGCGAAAGCCUGAUCCAGCCAUUCCGCGCGCAGGAUGAAGGCCCUCGGGUUGUAAACUGCUUUUGUACAGAACGAAAAGGUUUCUACUAAUACUAGGAGCUCAUGAGGGUACUGUAAGAAUAAGCACCGGCUAACUACGUGCCAGCCGCCGCGGUAA
This 500-nucleotide ribosomal RNA is filed under the name uncultured bacterium. Its description in RNAcentral is "partial 16S ribosomal RNA". It matches the Rfam family "Bacterial small subunit ribosomal RNA", at positions 30 to 523 of the family's 1533-position model. The record is from RNAcentral.